GACGAACCGUACGAACGUUAUUCGGAAUCACUGGGCUUAAAGGGUGCGUAGGCGGCGCGGCAAGUUGGGUGUGAAAUCCCUCGGCUUAACCGAGGAACUGCGUCCAAAACUGCCGUGCUCGAGGGAGACAGAGGUGAGCGGAACUUAGGGUGGAGCGGUGAAAUGCGUUGAUAUCCUAAGGAACACCGGUGGCGAAAGCGGCUCACUGGGUCUCUUCUGACGCUGAGGCACGAAAGCUAGGGUAGCGAACGGG
RNAcentral lists this ribosomal RNA (253 nucleotides) under uncultured bacterium. Its description in RNAcentral is "partial 16S ribosomal RNA". It matches the Rfam family "Bacterial small subunit ribosomal RNA", at positions 524 to 776 of the family's 1533-position model. The record is from RNAcentral.